RNAcentral lists this transfer RNA (65 nucleotides) under Machla setosa. Its description in RNAcentral is "tRNA-Pro". Lineage: Eukaryota; Metazoa; Arthropoda; Insecta; Coleoptera; Tenebrionidae. The record is from RNAcentral.
CAAGAAAUAGUUUAUUAAAAAUUUUAAUUUUGGAGAUUAAAGAUGAAUGUAUUGUUUUUUCUUGA